GCUGUAAGAAAAUCACAAAUCAGUGAGGGAUCAUAACGAUACCAUCAUCUUUCAACCUACCAAUAUACUUUUCUUGGAAGCCACAGUGAAAAAAUGUGGAAACACAACACUCAAAACUCCGUCCUCGAGCGCUGGCUUGUCAAAAGUAACUAGCCAAUUCGAUUCCCUUUAAGUUUUUCAUUCUCGAGAUCUUGACGCAUGGAAAAGACUUUU
RNAcentral lists this unclassified non-coding RNA (213 nucleotides) under Hevea brasiliensis (rubber tree). The record is from RNAcentral. Lineage: Eukaryota; Viridiplantae; Streptophyta; Magnoliopsida; Malpighiales; Euphorbiaceae.